RNAcentral lists this ribosomal RNA (468 nucleotides) under uncultured bacterium. RNAcentral's name for it is "partial 16S ribosomal RNA". It matches the Rfam family "Bacterial small subunit ribosomal RNA", at positions 28 to 507 of the family's 1533-position model. The record is from RNAcentral.
GAUGAACGCUGGCGGCGUGCUUAACACAUGCAAGUCGAACGGAAAGGCCCAAGCUUGCUUGGGUACUCGAGUGGCGAACGGGUGAGUAACACGUGGGUGAUCUGCCCUGCACUUCGGGAUAAGCCUGGGAAACUGGGUCUAAUACCGGAUAGGACGAUGGUUUGGAUGCCAUUGUGGAAAGUUUUUUCGGUGUGGGAUGAGCUCGCGGCCUAUCAGCUUGUUGGUGGGGUAAUGGCCUACCAAGGCGUCGACGGGUAGCCGGCCUGAGAGGGUGUACGGCCACAUUGGGACUGAGAUACGGCCCAGACUCCUACGGGAGGCAGCAGUGGGGAAUACUGCACAAUGGGCGCAAGCCUGAUGCAGCGACGCCGCGUGGGGGAUGACGGCCUUCGGGUUGUAAACUCCUUUCGCUAGGGACGAAGCGUUUUUGUGACGGUACCUGGAGAAGAAGCACCGGCUAACUACGUG